RNAcentral lists this ribosomal RNA (253 nucleotides) under uncultured bacterium. Its description in RNAcentral is "partial 16S ribosomal RNA". It matches the Rfam family "Bacterial small subunit ribosomal RNA", at positions 524 to 776 of the family's 1533-position model. The record is from RNAcentral.
UACGUAGGUGGCGAGCGUUGUCCGGAUUUACUGGGCGUAAAGAGCGCGCAGGCGGCUGGUCAAGUCCGAUGUGAAAGCUCCCGGCUUAACUGGGAAAUUGCAUCGGAAACUGAUCGGCUGGAAGGUGGGAGAGGGUAGCGGAAUUCCCGGUGUAGUGGUGAAAUGCGUAGAUAUCGGGAGGAACACCAGUGGCGAAGGCAGCUCGCUGGGACGUGACUGACGCUGAGACGCGAAAGCGUGGGGAGCAAACAGG